This 380-nucleotide long non-coding RNA is filed under the name Equus asinus (donkey). RNAcentral describes it as "lncRNA (ENSEASG00005034367.1)". Lineage: Eukaryota; Metazoa; Chordata; Mammalia; Perissodactyla; Equidae. The record is from RNAcentral.
CACACCCUCAGUCCUUGCUCUGAGGAAAAGAACUUCACCUGGGCCCCUUAUAUCACUUACUUUCAGAGAAAUCUGAAUCCUAAUUGGAACCCAGAAGCAGUUCCCUCAUCCAGUUUCAACUCAACUUUGAUCAAACAUGUGUUGCUCCCUCAGACAUUUGUCUGGAAAUACUGAGUAUGUGACUCAGGAACAAACAAAAGUUAACUCCAUAGAAUGAUCUCCUACUGGACCUGAGAUGAUUCUUCCCUCAAUUUCAACUGAUUCAUAUCCUUCCUCAACGGCUGACUCAGAGUCAUGACUCAAUAAUGACGACAUCAUUUUAAGCUUAUAAAAUUUGAAGAGAACCAUGGACAGAAAUAGAAGGGGAAAACAUGUAAAAU